RNAcentral lists this ribosomal RNA (442 nucleotides) under Burkholderia sp. OKI-20. Its description in RNAcentral is "bacterial SSU rRNA". It matches the Rfam family "Bacterial small subunit ribosomal RNA", at positions 30 to 470 of the family's 1533-position model. Lineage: Bacteria; Pseudomonadati; Pseudomonadota; Betaproteobacteria; Burkholderiales; Burkholderiaceae. The record is from RNAcentral.
UGAACGCUGGCGGCAUGCCUUACACAUGCAAGUCGAACGGCAGCACGGGUGCUUGCACCUGGUGGCGAGUGGCGAACGGGUGAGUAAUACAUCGGAACAUGUCCAGUAGUGGGGGAUAGCCCGGCGAAAGCCGGAUUAAUACCGCAUACGAUCUUUGGAUGAAAGCGGGGGAUCGCAAGACCUCGCGCUAUUGGGGUGGCCGAUGGCGGAUUAGCUAGUUGGUGGGGUAAAGGCUCACCAAGGCGACGAUCCGUAGCUGGUCUGAGAGGACGACCAGCCACACUGGGACUGAGACACGGCCCAGACUCCUACGGGAGGCAGCAGUGGGGAAUGUCGGACAAUGGGCGAAAGCCUGAUCCAGCAAUGCCGCGUGUGUGAAGAAGGCCUUCGGGUUGUAAAGCACUUUGGUCCGGAAAGAAAUCCUGGUGGCUAAUAUCCGUCG